This 67-nucleotide transfer RNA is filed under the name Planostrea pestigris. Its description in RNAcentral is "tRNA-Leu". Lineage: Eukaryota; Metazoa; Mollusca; Bivalvia; Ostreida; Ostreidae. The record is from RNAcentral.
GCCAGGUUAGUAUGAUAGGUAGUACGUCGAAUUUAGGUUUCGUAGGAAGGGGAAUCCCUACAUGGCU